RNAcentral lists this long non-coding RNA (200 nucleotides) under Lathyrus oleraceus (garden pea). RNAcentral describes it as "Pisum sativum (pea) long non-coding RNA (PSAT_LNC007210)". Lineage: Eukaryota; Viridiplantae; Streptophyta; Magnoliopsida; Fabales; Fabaceae. The record is from RNAcentral.
CUCUUCUAACACAGUUAAGUACAUGAUCAAUGGUCUUCCUUCCACUGUAGGAGACAAGAUAGAAGGUUCAAGCAGAUACUCCUUGAUGUUGUCAAAAGCUUUAUGGCAUUCUUCUGUCUAAACACAACCUUGAUCUUUACGGAGAAGCUUGAAGAUUGGCCCACAUGUGGCAAUCAUGUGAUAUAUAAACCUGGAGAUGU